UACAUAACUAUUUGUCUACACUUUUGGGGAUAAAGAUGAUCUGCAUAUAUUUAUGAUGCUGACCUCUUGAGCUUUCUGGGCGACAUCCGUUACAUCAUCGAGUGAGCCGUAAAGAUCGACCACUGAUCACAUCCCAUUGAUGGACAGUAAAAAUGAACGAAGACAAGUCUGCUCUGGAGCUCUAUAGAGAAUGUUUGGAUGACAACUCUGAUGAUUUUGGCGCGCAUGAAAGAUGGGACACACGAGACUGGCAGCUAGAAGUGGCUACUAGCUAACGGUGCUAACGCAGCUAACUGCUAAAGAGUCGACCGAGCUCCGCUUCAAUGACGACACUGUCGGCCACUUUCAGCUGUAACCGUAUGGCCGUAUGGGGACAUUAGGUGUAGCUGCCCCACUACAGUAGGCCGGUGGUUUGCUUUGACGUUUGCUCCAAUCCUCCGUCCAUAAAACUGCUGCGCACGCUUCCCUCCUGUUGCCACUAGGUGGCACCAGCAGACCGGUGUUUGCUAGAGGAAGGACCCCCGCGACACACACGUAGUACGCAUUGACAAUUACGUCCAUAACAAAACGACAAGAUUCCUGUAAAAAUGUACAUUUGAAGAUCUGCAAUUCAAUGACGGCUAAUCAGACUCUAUCUGCUGGUGUGAUAUAAUCAAAGGCUCCUGAUCGGCUGCUUAACGAAUGGUGGCGUAUGAGGACCUCGACACUUGGAAAUGUCUGGAACACUGGUUCGGUCACAGCUCAAGCAGGAUAUUUUUUGCGUUGAAACGCUUUACUUGUUCUUCUUUUCCUACUGCAUCAUUGGAAAUAAACGUUUGGCUGUUUUAAGUUGAAAGAUGCCCGACAGGUUAUUUGUAUUUCUUGGCACGGAGGCAUGGAGACGUGCUGUACUCUGCUAUUGCUUAGAGUUUGUUUUACUGCCCGAUAACCACCUGAUGCAGUGGGGAUUUAUUGCUUUUACAUUUACUGUUGGAUAUGUACCGCCUGAUAUUCAUAUGAUGAGUCACAUGUUCUCUUGAACUUUCUCCUUAACCGUAGUCA
Long non-coding RNA from Gasterosteus aculeatus aculeatus (three-spined stickleback), 1041 nucleotides. Lineage: Eukaryota; Metazoa; Chordata; Actinopteri; Perciformes; Gasterosteidae. The record is from Ensembl.